Molecule: transfer RNA, 74 nt
Filed under: Candidatus Phytoplasma vitis
Lineage: Bacteria; Bacillati; Mycoplasmatota; Mollicutes; Acholeplasmatales; Acholeplasmataceae
Also listed under: 3 other names
Description: tRNA-Cys
Rfam family: tRNA
About the family: Transfer RNA (tRNA) molecules are approximately 80 nucleotides in length. Their secondary structure includes four short double-helical elements and three loops (D, anti-codon, and T loops).
Source: RNAcentral
GGCCCUGUAGCCAAGUGGUAAGGCAUGGCUCUGCAAAAGCUUGAUCGACGGUUCAAAUCCGCCCAGGGCCUCCA